This is a long non-coding RNA of Pelobates fuscus (common spadefoot toad), 736 nucleotides long. RefSeq lists it as uncharacterized. The record is from RefSeq and is a predicted model, not a curated record. The transcript is spliced from 2 exons. Lineage: Eukaryota; Metazoa; Chordata; Amphibia; Anura; Pelobatidae.
UGAGCUGAAGUGGUCUGGGUGCCUGGAGUGUCCCUUUAAGUGGAAAUAUUCAGUCCCUGUAGCCUUUCGAUCUGCCUCCCGCAACGCCACGCCCUUUCAUUUUUUUUUCAUCCAAGCCAAUGCUCCUAAUAGAGGAGCAUUGGGAAGGAACAGCACUGUGCUCCUCCAAUGAAAGAGGGAGGGGGUGAGUCCGUUCUCACAGCAAAGUGGCUGUCAAGAAGAGGCAUAUUUAGCCCUGCAAAAUAUGCAUUGCUAUAUCUAUUCAAUGCAGGAUUACAACUAAAGGACUACUGCACUUGGUCUUGAUGCUUUUAGUGGUCGUUUAAGAAAGCAAACUGCUUGAGAAUUCAUAAAUGUGAGAAAUUAAAGGACAGAUGGGCAGACAAGCAAAACCAGAGAAGAAAAACCGCUCCUCCUUGCUUCUCACCAUGAUUGUGUGUUUUGGAAAUCUAGCUCUGACAUCCUUCACAUGUUGCACAAACUGCUCAGAGUAUCCAUUAGCAACAUCCAGGCAGAUAUAACGAACUUGAGGUACAGCAGACAGGACUUCUUCAACAUGCUGGAAAUCUGACUGCCCUGUUCCAGAGCUCACAGCCACGUUCUGCGGAAGAUAUGUUUUAAUAUACUCACAGUCGUGUACUUCAAAACACGUCAAUUUAUCUUUUUACAAACUACUACUGUCCACAAGGAAUGUUGUAAAUAUUUAAAAUUUAUAUAUUUUAAAUAAAGUAUUUGG